Molecule: transfer RNA, 64 nt
Filed under: Odontomantis sp. JZ-2017
Lineage: Eukaryota; Metazoa; Arthropoda; Insecta; Mantodea; Hymenopodidae
Description: tRNA-Tyr
Source: RNAcentral
GGUAAAAUGGCUGAGUUUAGGUAAUAAAUUGUAAAUUUAUUAAGGAGAUGUUUCUCUUUUACCA